CCUACGGGUGGCAGCAGUGGGGAAUCUUGCGCAAUGGGCGAAAGCCUGACGCAGCGACGCCGCGUGAGGGAUGAAGGUCUUCGGAUCGUAAACCUCUGUCAGCAGGGAAGAACGGUCACUGUGCUAAUCAGCAGUGAAUUGACGGUACCUGCAAAGGAAGCACCGGCUAACUCCGUGCCAGCAGCCGCGGUAAUACGGAGGGUGCGAGCGUUAAUCGGAAUUACUGGGCGUAAAGCGCUCGUAGGCGGUAUGGCAAGUCAAGGGUGAAAUCCCGGCGCUCAACGUGGGAACUGCCUUUGAAACUGGGAAACUGGAGUGUGUGAGAGGAGAGCGGAAUUCCAGGUGUAGGAGUGAAAUGCGUAGAUAUCGGGAGGAACAUCAGUGGCGAAGGCGGCUAGCUGGAACGUAACUGACGCUGAGGAGCGAAAGCGUGGGUAGCAAACAGGAUUAGAUACCCGAGUAGUC
Molecule: ribosomal RNA, 465 nt
Filed under: uncultured bacterium
Lineage: Bacteria
Description: partial 16S ribosomal RNA
Rfam family: Bacterial small subunit ribosomal RNA
Source: RNAcentral